RNAcentral lists this long non-coding RNA (457 nucleotides) under Ananas comosus (pineapple). Its description in RNAcentral is "long non-coding RNA (ACOM_LNC031393)". The record is from RNAcentral. Lineage: Eukaryota; Viridiplantae; Streptophyta; Magnoliopsida; Poales; Bromeliaceae.
AACGAGGUAGGUCAUUUAAUUCGGAUUCGGCAAAAAUUCGGUACGGGUAUAAUUCGGAUAAAAUUCGUCUUCUAAUUUUUAAAUUCGUUGAAAAAUACGGCUAAAAAACGGAUUCGUUAAUUAUUCGGAUACGUGAUUUAUACAGAUAUUAUACGUUCAUCAAUUAAAAAUUCGGGAUCAAAAAUUCGGCUAUUAAAUUAAGUUUUUUUUCUCUGAAAAUUUAUAAUACUAGCAUAAAUACUCAUAUUUCUUAAGAAUAUAAGAAAAAAGAACUACAAAAUUAAGCUAAUUAAGUAAAAAAAAUAGCAAACUAUAUUAUACCUCAAAAUAAAUAAUAAAGUAAAUAAGAGAUUAAAUUUUUUUGAUCGAGUGAUUUUUUUUGGGGGGGGAGAGGAGAGCGAACGUUUCGAAAAGAUUUUUUUUUUUUUUGUGCGAGGUUUGGAUUUUGGAAAUGGUU